RNAcentral lists this ribosomal RNA (728 nucleotides) under Lactococcus lactis. RNAcentral's name for it is "bacterial SSU rRNA". It matches the Rfam family "Bacterial small subunit ribosomal RNA", at positions 51 to 762 of the family's 1533-position model. Lineage: Bacteria; Bacillati; Bacillota; Bacilli; Lactobacillales; Streptococcaceae. The record is from RNAcentral.
AUACAUGCAAGUUGAGCGAUGAAGAUUGGUGCUUGCACCAAUUUGAAGAGCAGCGAACGGGUGAGUAACGCGUGGGGAAUCUGCCUUUGAGCGGGGGACAACAUUUGGAAACGAAUGCUAAUACCGCAUAACAACUUUAAACAUAAGUUUUAAGUUUGAAAGAUGCAAUUGCAUCACUCAAAGAUGAUCCCGCGUUGUAUUAGCUAGUUGGUGAGGUAAAGGCUCACCAAGGCGAUGAUACAUAGCCGACCUGAGAGGGUGAUCGGCCACAUUGGGACUGAGACACGGCCCAAACUCCUACGGGAGGCAGCAGUAGGGAAUCUUCGGCAAUGGACGAAAGUCUGACCGAGCAACGCCGCGUGAGUGAAGAAGGUUUUCGGAUCGUAAAACUCUGUUGGUAGAGAAGAACGUUGGUGAGAGUGGAAAGCUCAUCAAGUGACGGUAACUACCCAGAAAGGGACGGCUAACUACGUGCCAGCAGCCGCGGUAAUACGUAGGUCCCGAGCGUUGUCCGGAUUUAUUGGGCGUAAAGCGAGCGCAGGUGGUUUAUUAAGUCUGGUGUAAAAGGCAGUGGCUCAACCAUUGUAUGCAUUGGAAACUGGUAGACUUGAGUGCAGGAGAGGAGAGUGGAAUUCCAUGUGUAGCGGUGAAAUGCGUAGAUAUAUGGAGGAACACCGGUGGCGAAAGCGGCUCUCUGGCCUGUAACUGACACUGAGGCUCGAAAGCGU